This is a long non-coding RNA of Pantherophis guttatus, 763 nucleotides long. RefSeq lists it as uncharacterized. The record is from RefSeq and is a predicted model, not a curated record. Lineage: Eukaryota; Metazoa; Chordata; Lepidosauria; Squamata; Colubridae.
UUUUCUCUUUCUCUCUUGUGGAACACUGGAAACCCGGUGAAGGAAAUCCACUUUUGCUUGCUGAGCCAGUGACAGAAGCAAAUGCAGGAUACACAUUGUUCAUGGAUAGUGAAGCAGAAGUAAUAGGAUGAGAAACUAAUACAGAGAUCACACACAAUCUAGACAAUUUAAGAAACAAGAAAACACACAUGCACCACUACUAUUCAGAGACCAAACCAAAACAGACAAGCUCAAGCAAGCAGGAGACUUUAAUCAGUGUCUAUGAAGAAAGCUUCCUGUAGACUUGUAACAGCUGUGGAUAUUUAAGUCAGGAGAAGACUGGCUGCAAAGUAGAAAAGAUAUUAUAAGUACACAAGAAGGGGAAACAGUGGGAGAUAAACAGAUAAGAGUAUGCCUGACAAAACAAGAAAUGAAUUGGGAGGGGGAAUGAGAGAGAGAGGAGGAAGAAAAUGAAAGACACUCAGAUCAAGAAGAACACAUCGCAACAGCUUUGACAGCAAUAUACAGGAUGCAUACCAUUUUUAAAAUAGAAGAACACCUACUGGACCACUUAUUUAUACAUACAAGAAGAACGGCCUUACCAGAAAUCCUUCUCUCUUUACGUUUGGUUACUGAACAAUAUAGAGACAUGGAUUCUAAUCAAGUUGAAUAACCUCAGCAACUAUAUAUGUCCUAAACAGGACAAAUGAUUCUUUAAUUUGCUCAUUGCUGUGAUUCUAUAUAUUCACUGUUCCAAAAAUAUAUUUUGUUUCUAAAUCAUUCA